AAUGUCGUAACAAGGUUUCCGUAGGUGAACCUGCGGAAGGAUCAUUAAAAAAUGCUUGCGAGGGGCUUUGCCUCCAACGCAUCCAUCCUAUGACUAUAUACCUAGUUGCUUUGGCGGCGCCUGGGCGUAACGCCCCGGUGGCUUUAACCACCGAGUGCCCGCCAGAGGUCAAUCAAAGCUCUUGUUUAAAGCACUGCCGUCCGAUACACAAAAUCAAUAGCUAAAAC
RNAcentral lists this unclassified non-coding RNA (227 nucleotides) under plant metagenome. Its description in RNAcentral is "partial contains small subunit ribosomal RNA and internal transcribed spacer 1". The stretch from base 1 to 47 matches the Rfam family "Eukaryotic small subunit ribosomal RNA", at positions 1785 to 1831 of the family's 1831-position model. The record is from RNAcentral.